Molecule: ribosomal RNA, 624 nt
Filed under: Lathraea squamaria
Lineage: Eukaryota; Viridiplantae; Streptophyta; Magnoliopsida; Lamiales; Orobanchaceae
Description: eukaryotic LSU rRNA
Rfam family: 5.8S ribosomal RNA (bases 225-380)
Source: RNAcentral
CAAAAGCAGACCGAGAACUUGUUAAACCACUAGGGAUCGAGGCGCGGGGGCAACCCCUUGUCGAGCUCCCUUCCCGGGUGCGUGUGCUUGAUCUCAAGCACUCGUACCUCGGGCUAACGAACCCCGGCGCGGCAUGUGCCAAGGAAUAUUCAUAGAAGCGUCCGCCUUCAUCGCCCCGUACUCGGUGUUUGAUGGAGGUAGGCACGUCUCUUUAAAGUCUAAACGACUCUCGGCAACGGAUAUCUCGGCUCUCGCAUCGAUGAAGAACGUAGCGAAAUGCGAUACUUGGUGUGAAUUGCAGAAUCCCGUGAACCAUCGAGUCUUUGAACGCAAGUUGCGCCCGAAGCCAUUUGGUUGAGGGCACGCCUGCCUGGGCGUCACGCAUCGCGUCGCCCCCGUCCAAACCCACACCUCUUGGUGAUUGUGAUCGGGGCGGAUACUGGCUCCCCGUGCGCGUCCGCGCGCGGUCGGCCUAAAUUUGAACCCGCGACGACUCGUGGCACGACUAGUGUUGGUUGAGCACUCAACUCUCGUGAUGUUGUGCCGAAUGUGGUCUCAUGUCGGGCGUUGUUGUAAACCCAAUGGUUCGAGCAACUCGAGCUUUCGACCGCGACCCCAGGUCAG